GAUGAGGUGGAUGAGUGGUAAAAGCGAUGGACUACUAAUCCAUUGUGCUCUUGAGCAUGGGUUCAAACCCCAUCCUCAUUG
This is a non-coding RNA of Phyllopteryx taeniolatus (common seadragon), 81 nucleotides long. Lineage: Eukaryota; Metazoa; Chordata; Actinopteri; Syngnathiformes; Syngnathidae. The record is from the annotation of a RefSeq genome assembly.